Molecule: non-coding RNA, 737 nt
Organism: Poecilia reticulata (guppy)
Lineage: Eukaryota; Metazoa; Chordata; Actinopteri; Cyprinodontiformes; Poeciliidae
Source: RefSeq, a predicted model, not a curated record
UUUGUGGAUUAUUUUUCAGUGGAGCUCUGUCAUACGGACUAUUUUGUGGAUUUUGACUUCUUGAACUGCGGAAGGACACGGACAGACUGUGCUGCACAAAUACCGCAGCUGUGGCAGCGGAGAGCAACACCUCUGUGAGCUCGUUUGAUAAUCUGUUAAAGAAGAUUUCAUAUUUUAUAUUUGGACAUUUGCUGGCCUAUGAGCCCUACUGCUGAUAAAAAUAAAAGCAAAACAAACUGAACAUUAAAGAAAACAAACGUUUUUGUUCAUAAUCCUGAGGUUUUCUGCUGUGAAUGUUGCAUUUAUUUUGGACACUACCAUAAAGGUUAAACAAAACAAAAUGGCAUUUGAACCAGAUUUUUCUGUUUUUGACUCUGACAUGGACGAUGACCUUGAGGACGGUUUCCCUCAGACCGAUGCCAUCCAUGACCUCCCUCCAGGAAAAGUUUUCCUGGCAUGUUGAAGUGGGAGAAGUAAACCCCAGCAGAAAAGCGGUGAAGCUGGGAUUGACUUCCCUCAUCAUCUGACAUCACAUCUGGACAGAAAGCAAAUACGUACAGAGUUGUCUAAAGGCCUUAUAGUAUAAAGUAAACUUAAAGUUUCACAGCUUGUCAAGCACAAGUUUGACAAGUGUCUUCCUUUUUUGAUAAAGCAUUGAUUUGUAAAGAAGUAUUUGUUUUCUGUGUUUAAUGUUGGUAAUUUAUCAAAAUAAAGUGAAACAAGCAGCAGCAAUUUCA